Non-coding RNA from Pelobates cultripes (western spadefoot toad), 201 nucleotides. NCBI's taxonomy places the organism in Eukaryota, Metazoa, Chordata, Amphibia, Anura, Pelobatidae. The record is from the annotation of a GenBank genome assembly.
AAAAAGCCUGAAGGGAAUGAUUAUGCUCACCAGAACAAAUACAACUAGAAAAGUUACAAUUUCAGGGGAAAUUGUGUGAAGUGUUCUUGCCUCCACCUGUAGUCUACAACUGGAGUGGGCGGAGUAACUGUUAUCAUUUACAUAGCACAUUUAAUUGCAACGUUGUUGCACAGUUACAUUAAACCAUACAUUUAUAAAAAC